ACACUAUUUUUUAGCCGAAGAGAAUAAUAAAUGAUAUAAUUUUGAAUCGUUUUCUCACCAUCAUCGCGCUAUUCAACCAAAACAGGCCCGAGAGCCUCGCCGCGGCGCGGUUUCUUAACGUGGACAUGAUUGCAGCCUGCAGGUGCCACGCAUUUUCAAGUUUCAUCACUGCAAAGAAAAACGCAUGAAUUCUAUCUAACGCGUCUCCUGGAGCGUGCAUGUGAGACUAAAAGCACCCACCACGACGUUGGUUGCCCUGUGCCGCCGGUAUCCCUGCCCUGCUGGUCUCUUCCCCCCCCACUCGUACGGACAUGCCAUGGUGGGCAAUACCGGGGAAGCCGUUCGUUGUGUAACGAGCGCUGCGCCGCAGCGGGGACGCGACGGAGACACACAGUGAGUGAGACUGCUUGUCCCAUACAGGGUCAUGGGGAACCAGAUCCUACCCAGCAACACAGGGCAUAAGGCCAGAGGGGGAGGGGACACACCCAGAACAGAACGCCAGUCUGUCACAAGGCACCCCAAGCAGGACUCGAACCCCAGACCCACCGGAGAGCAGGAGUGUGGUCCAACCCACUGCGCCACCGCACCCCCUAUUACUAGGUUGCGGGGAACCGGAGCCUACCCAGCAACUCAGGGCGUAAGGCCGGAGGGGACACACCCAGGACGGGACACCAGUCCAUCACAAGCCACCCUAAGCAGGACUCAAACCCCAGACCCACCGGAGAGCAGGACCCAGUCCAACCCACUGCACCACCGUGCCCCCGUCACUUUGUAAUGUAUUCAAACCUAAAAAUAACAUAUGUUAAAAACUAUAUUAAAAGCAUACAACUUCAGCAAGCAUCUGUUAUAUAUACCUGUCUUGAUCUUGGGUCCAAGCAGUUUUUCUGUAUGUUUAAAUGUCUUUCCAGUAGUUCCUCUCCACUAUAUGUUAUACUUACACUAAAUCAUUGUUUUUAUGUUUUGUUUAUAUAUUCC
This 975-nucleotide long non-coding RNA is filed under the name Scleropages formosus (Asian bonytongue). RNAcentral describes it as "lncRNA (ENSSFOG00015030165.1)". Lineage: Eukaryota; Metazoa; Chordata; Actinopteri; Osteoglossiformes; Osteoglossidae. The record is from RNAcentral.